GUGGUGUGUCCAGUCGGCCUUUGCUCUUUGAGUGAUUGUGCUGUACUGGUCUGCCAUGUUUGGGUGGAAUCUGUGUGGCAUUAAGUUGUCGUGCAGGGGAUGCCCAUCGUUUACUGUGAAAAAAUUAGAGUGUUCAAAGCAGGCUUAUGCCGUUGAAUAUAUUAGCAUGGAAUAAUGAUAUAGGACCUUGGUACUAUUUUGUUGGUUUGCGCACUAAGGUAAUGAUUAAGAGGGACAGUUGGGGGUAUUUGUAUUCCAUUGUCGGAGGUGAAAUUCUUGGAUUUUUGGAAGACAAACUACUGCGAAAGCAUUUACC
This 316-nucleotide ribosomal RNA is filed under the name Pseudo-nitzschia sp. RCC5222. RNAcentral's name for it is "SSU rRNA". The stretch from base 97 to 316 matches the Rfam family "Eukaryotic small subunit ribosomal RNA", at positions 738 to 959 of the family's 1831-position model. The record is from RNAcentral. Lineage: Eukaryota; Bacillariophyta; Bacillariophyceae; Bacillariales; Bacillariaceae.